RNAcentral lists this ribosomal RNA (800 nucleotides) under Microbacterium sp. JSM 2175014. Its description in RNAcentral is "bacterial SSU rRNA". It matches the Rfam family "Bacterial small subunit ribosomal RNA", at positions 38 to 847 of the family's 1533-position model. The record is from RNAcentral. Lineage: Bacteria; Bacillati; Actinomycetota; Actinomycetes; Micrococcales; Microbacteriaceae.
GGAUCCUCUGCGUCCUAUACUGCAGUCGAACGGUGAAGCCAAGCUUGCUUGGUGGAUCAGUGGCGAACGGGUGAGUAACACGUGAGCAACCUGCCCUGGACUCUGGGAUAAGCGCUGGAAACGGUGUCUAAUACUGGAUAUGAGACGUGAUCGCAUGGUCGUGUUUGGAAAGAUUUUUCGGUCUGGGAUGGGCUCGCGGCCUAUCAGCUUGUUGGUGAGGUAAUGGCUCACCAAGGCGUCGACGGGUAGCCGGCCUGAGAGGGUGACCGGCCACACUGGGACUGAGACACGGCCCAGACUCCUACGGGAGGCAGCAGUGGGGAAUAUUGCACAAUGGGCGAAAGCCUGAUGCAGCAACGCCGCGUGAGGGAUGACGGCCUUCGGGUUGUAAACCUCUUUUAGCAGGGAAGAAGCGAAAGUGACGGUACCUGCAGAAAAAGCGCCGGCUAACUACGUGCCAGCAGCCGCGGUAAUACGUAGGGCGCAAGCGUUAUCCGGAAUUAUUGGGCGUAAAGAGCUCGUAGGCGGUUUGUCGCGUCUGCUGUGAAAUCCCGAGGCUCAACCUCGGGCCUGCAGUGGGUACGGGCAGACUAGAGUGCGGUAGGGGGAGAUUGGAAUUCCUGGUGUAGCGGUGGAAUGCGCAGAUAUCAGGAGGAACACCGAUGGCGAAGGCAGAUCUCUGGGCCGUAACUGACGCUGAGGAGCGAAAGGGUGGGGAGCAAACAGGCUUAGAUACCCUGGUAGUCCACCCCGUAAACGUUGGGAACUAGUUGUGGGGACCAUUCCACGGUUUCCGUGAC